RNAcentral lists this transfer RNA (32 nucleotides) under Atherina boyeri (big-scale sand smelt). Its description in RNAcentral is "partial tRNA-Glu". Lineage: Eukaryota; Metazoa; Chordata; Actinopteri; Atheriniformes; Atherinidae. The record is from RNAcentral.
GAAAAACCACCGUUGUCUUCAACUACAGAAAC